AUUGAACGCUGGCGGCAUGCCUUACACAUGCAAGUCGAACGGCAGCACGGGUGCUUGCACCUGGUGGCGAGUGGCGAACGGGUGAGUAAUAUAUCGGAACGUACCUCAUUGAGGGGGAUAACGCAGCGAAAGCUGUGCUAAUACCGCAUAAUCCCUAAGGGGGAAAGCGGGGGACCGUAAGGCCUCGCGCAAUUAGAGCGGCCGAUACCUGAUUAGCUAGUUGGUGAGGUAAAGGCUCACCAAGGCAACGAUCAGUAGCUGGUCUGAGAGGACGAUCAGCCACACUGGGACUGAGACACGGCCCAGACUCCUACGGGAGGCGGCAGUGGGGAAUUUUGGACAAUGGGGGCAACCCUGAUCCAGCAAUGCCGCGUGAGUGAAGAAGGCCUUCGGGUUGUAAAGCUCUUUUGUCAGGGAAGAAACAGCAGCUCUAACACAGUUUGCGAAUGACGGUACCUGAAGAAUAAGCACCGGCUAACUACGUGCCAGCCGCCGCCGUAA
This 501-nucleotide ribosomal RNA is filed under the name uncultured bacterium. RNAcentral describes it as "partial 16S ribosomal RNA". It matches the Rfam family "Bacterial small subunit ribosomal RNA", at positions 30 to 523 of the family's 1533-position model. The record is from RNAcentral.